UCGGACGACAAGGCACCCAACCCAAGCGUCGCGUUCGACGGGUGUACCCCAAGGCCCCCCGCCGAGACCCUUGGUGAUUUGUUUUUAGCCUUCCUGCACCAACACCCUCAGCUUGUGUAACGCUCACCUCCAUCUCUGGACGAUGGCCACCCCUCCCCGUCUCGCUUCCAGCUGCACCAUCCACUUGUAUGACGCUUAUCUCCGUCCCUGGACGAUGGCCACCCCUCCCUGUCUCGCUUCCAGCCGCAUCUCACCGGAAGCAUGCGAAGGAUGACGCGCGUCUUCUUCUUCUUGGUGGCGUGUAGAUCGGACAGGAUGUGAUGAACCAGCCUGUCAGACUCUACGGUAAUAAUAAUAAUAAAAUAAUCAAAAUGACCGA
Phyllopteryx taeniolatus (common seadragon) is the source of this 379-nucleotide long non-coding RNA. RefSeq lists it as uncharacterized. The record is from RefSeq and is a predicted model, not a curated record. The transcript has 3 exons. Lineage: Eukaryota; Metazoa; Chordata; Actinopteri; Syngnathiformes; Syngnathidae.